This 354-nucleotide ribosomal RNA is filed under the name uncultured bacterium. Its description in RNAcentral is "bacterial SSU rRNA". It matches the Rfam family "Bacterial small subunit ribosomal RNA", at positions 917 to 1269 of the family's 1533-position model. The record is from RNAcentral.
GGGCCCGCACAAGCGGUGGAGCAUGUGGUUUAAUUCGAUGAUACGCGAGGAACCUUACCAGGGCUUAAAUGUAGAGUGACAGGUCUAGAGAUAGAUUUUUCUUCGGACACUUUACAAGGUGCUGCAUGGUUGUCGUCAGCUCGUGCCGUGAGGUGUCAGGUUAAGUCCUAUAACGAGCGCAACCCUUGUCGUUAGUUGCCAGCAAGUAAAGUUGGGGACUCUAGCGAGACUGCCGGUGCAAAACCGAGAGGAAGGUGGGGAUGACGUCAAAUCAUCAACGGCCCCUUACGGUCCUGGGGCUACACACUGCUACAAUGGUAUGGACAAUGAGCAGCCACUACGCGAGUAGGAGCG